UACGUAGGGGGCAAGCGUUGUCCGGAUUUAUUGGGCGUAAAGCGCGUGUAGGCGGCCAGAAAAGUCCGCUGUGAAAACUCGAGGCUCAACUUCGAGCUGUCGGUGGAAACUUUCUGGCUAGAGUCCGGAAGAGGAGAAUGGAAUUCCUGGUGUAGCGGUGAAAUGCGCAGAUAUCAGGAAGAACACCUGUGGCGAAGGCAGCACUCUGGGACAGUACUGACGCUGAGACGCGAAAGCGUGGGGAGCGAACAGG
This 253-nucleotide ribosomal RNA is filed under the name uncultured bacterium. RNAcentral's name for it is "partial 16S ribosomal RNA". It matches the Rfam family "Bacterial small subunit ribosomal RNA", at positions 524 to 776 of the family's 1533-position model. The record is from RNAcentral.